AGUGAACGCUGGCGGUAGGCCUAACACAUGCAAGUCGAACGGCAGCACAGUAAGAGCUUGCUCUUACGGGUGGCGAGUGGCGGACGGGUGAGGAAUACAUCGGAAUCUACUUUUUCGUGGGGGAUAACGUAGGGAAACUUACGCUAAUACCGCAUACGACCUACGGGUGAAAGCAGGGGAUCUUCGGACCUUGCGCGAUUGAAAGAGCCGAUGUCGGAUUAGCUAGUUGGCGGGGUAAAGGCCCACCAAGGCGACGAUCCGUAGCUGGUCUGAGAGGAUGAUCAGCCACACUGGAACUGAGACACGGUCCAGACUCCUACGGGAGGCAGCAGUGGGGAAUAUUGGACAAUGGGCGCAAGCCUGAUCCAGCAAUACCGCGUGGGUGAAGAAGGCCUUCGGGUUGUAAAGCCCUUUUGUUGGGAAAGAAAAGCAGCAGGUUAAUACCCCGCUGUUCUGACGGUACCCAAAGAAUAAGCACCGGCUAACUUCGUG
RNAcentral lists this ribosomal RNA (492 nucleotides) under uncultured bacterium. RNAcentral's name for it is "partial 16S ribosomal RNA". It matches the Rfam family "Bacterial small subunit ribosomal RNA", at positions 29 to 507 of the family's 1533-position model. The record is from RNAcentral.